GCCAGUGUGGCUUAGUGGUUUCAGCAUUGGAUUAUGACUCUGGAGACCAGGAUUUGAAUCCUUGCUUGGACA
Molecule: transfer RNA, 72 nt
Filed under: Phrynosoma platyrhinos (Desert horned lizard)
Lineage: Eukaryota; Metazoa; Chordata; Lepidosauria; Squamata; Phrynosomatidae
Description: tRNA-OTHER
Source: RNAcentral